AGAAAAUGUAAGAAUUUCUAUUUAUCUUUUGCAAAAAUGGAUAUGCUUUUGGGAUGGGGUGCCAGAAAUACAGUGGGAUACCUGACGCAUCUGUAAUUGAAUUCAUGAAGCUCUACUUGUCUGAUACUUUACAUCCUGUAUAUCUCUUUAAGAUUUGGUGUGGAUCAUAUCGACCACAGCAAGCUCUUAUUUCCAUUAAAAUGGAUAUACACAGUCCAGUGAUGUUCAGAGUACUGGGCUCCCUUCAGAACUUCCCAGAGUUUGCCAAAGCAUUCAACUGCAACAAAAGCAGCAACAUGGUCUCUGACAACAUUUGUCGUGUUUGGUGACCUAAAGACCAAACACAGUCGGUAUAAUACCUCUGUCCUCUAACUGUUGGAGCUCCAUGGAAGGCUGCAGUGAGAUGGAAACUUCCCUUUGUUCUUUGCUGGAUGGACCACAGCUGGUGAACAGGCAGUGCAGCAUGCACUUCAUCCAAGACGGAUUAUUGUCCCAAAAGGAAUAACCCUCAUGGGUUAUUGUCUGCUGUUAAAGUUUGUCUCACACUCUAACACUGCUGUUCAGUAAAUCAACUCUUUCAAUCUCCUGCUCA
Long non-coding RNA from Poecilia latipinna (sailfin molly), 592 nucleotides. RefSeq lists it as uncharacterized. Lineage: Eukaryota; Metazoa; Chordata; Actinopteri; Cyprinodontiformes; Poeciliidae. The transcript is spliced from 2 exons. The record is from RefSeq and is a predicted model, not a curated record.